Molecule: ribosomal RNA, 503 nt
Filed under: uncultured bacterium
Lineage: Bacteria
Description: partial 16S ribosomal RNA
Rfam family: Bacterial small subunit ribosomal RNA
Source: RNAcentral
GAUGAACGCUAGCGGCAGGCCUAACACAUGCAAGUCGAGGGGUAGCAGGAUUAAGCUUGCUUAAUUGCUGACGACCGGCGCACGGGUGCGUAACGCGUAUGCAACCUACCUUAUACUGGGGUAUAGCCCGGAGAAAUUCGGAUUAAUCCCCCAUAGUACUAAUGAAUCGCAUGGUUUAUUAGUUAAAGCAUUGCGGUAUAAGAUGGGCAUGCGUCCUAUUAGCUAGAUGGUGAGGUAACGGCUCACCAUGGCUACGAUAGGUAGGGGGCCUGAGAGGGUGGUCCCCCACACUGGUACUGAGACACGGACCUGACUCCUACGGGAGGCAGCAGUGAGGAAUAUUGGUCAAUGGGCGCAAGCCUGAACCAGCCAUGCCGCGUGCAGGAAGAAUGCCCUGUGGGUUGUAAACUGCUUUUAUUUGGGAAUAAACCUCUUUACGUGUAGAGAGCUGAAGGUACCAAAUGAAUAAGCACCGGCUAACUCCGUGCCAGCCGCCGCGGUAC